GACGAACGCUGGCGGCGUGCUUAACACAUGCAAGUCGAACGGAAAGGCCCUGCUCUUGUGGGGUGCUCGAGUGGCGAACGGGUGAGUAACACGUGAGUAACCUGCCCUUGACUUUGGGAUAACUUCAGGAAACUGGGGCUAAUACCGGAUAGGAGCUCCUGCUGCAUGGUGGGGGUUGGAAAGUUUCGGCGGUUGGGGAUGGACUCGCGGCUUAUCGGCUUGUUGGUGGGGUAGUGGCUUACCAAGGCUUUGACGGGUAGCCGGCCUGAGAGGGUGACCGGCCACAUUGGGACUGAGAUACGGCCCAGACUCCUACGGGAGGCAGCAGUGGAGAAUAUUGCACAAUGGGCGGAAGCCUGAUGCAGCAACGCCGCGUGCGGGAUGACGGCCUUCGGGUUGUAAACCGCUUUCGCCUGUGACGAAGCGUGAGUGACGGUAAUGGGUAAAGAAGCACCGGCUAACUACGUG
This 468-nucleotide ribosomal RNA is filed under the name uncultured bacterium. RNAcentral describes it as "partial 16S ribosomal RNA". It matches the Rfam family "Bacterial small subunit ribosomal RNA", at positions 28 to 507 of the family's 1533-position model. The record is from RNAcentral.